Molecule: ribosomal RNA, 253 nt
Filed under: uncultured bacterium
Lineage: Bacteria
Description: partial 16S ribosomal RNA
Rfam family: Bacterial small subunit ribosomal RNA
Source: RNAcentral
UACGUAGGGGGCUAGCGUUGUCCGGAAUCAUUGGGCGUAAAGCGCGUGUAGGCGGCCUUGUAAGUCCGUUCUGAAAGCCCGGGGCUCAACCCCGGGAGGCGGAUGGAUACUGCAAGGCUCGAGUCCGGAAGAGGCGAGUGGAAUUCCCGGUGUAGCGGUGAAAUGCGCAGAUAUCAGGAAGAACACCCGUGGCUAAGGCGGCUCUCUAGUACGGUACUGACGCUGAGACGCGAAAGCGUGGGGAGCGAACAGG